GUGGUAGUGAGUGCACACCAUGUCCGUGUGCGAUCAGGCGAUUUCGCACAAGAGAUAAGUUUGUUUACCUGCAGAUAUCGAAUCUUUAUUUCUGGGAAUAGAAUCACAUCGUUGCAGUUUAUAUGUGCAUCGGAAAUUACUCGUAUUUGCCGUGCCUUGGAGUCCGAUGUGUUCUGCAAUGUGCUUGCGGAGUCACGAUGGACGAUCCUCGCACAACAUUGGAACGCAAAUUUAAAAUAAAAUAAACAACAACA
Long non-coding RNA from Dalotia coriaria, 254 nucleotides. RefSeq lists it as uncharacterized. The record is from RefSeq and is a predicted model, not a curated record. NCBI's taxonomy places the organism in Eukaryota, Metazoa, Arthropoda, Insecta, Coleoptera, Staphylinidae. The transcript is spliced from 3 exons.